This is a long non-coding RNA of Octopus sinensis (East Asian common octopus), 284 nucleotides long. RefSeq lists it as uncharacterized. NCBI's taxonomy places the organism in Eukaryota, Metazoa, Mollusca, Cephalopoda, Octopoda, Octopodidae. The record is from RefSeq and is a predicted model, not a curated record. The transcript is spliced from 2 exons.
CAAAAUUUGAAACCAAUGUAAUAAUGACUUGGAAAUACAUUAGUAUACUUGAUGCAGUAAACCAAUUAACUUUGUUUAAUUAAAAUUGAUUAAACAUGAAUUAGUGUGUUGUGAGUCUCCUCUUUAGCAACAUACCAACAACUCCAGGCAUGUUUUGGUCUUAUCAGACCUCACUAGCAAAACAUAGUUUAACUAUGGCUGUUUGAUUUUAGAAUGACUUACGAUAUACAGAACCAUUGUGAACGAACACAGAGUAGCAUUAUAAAUUAAAAGAAUUGUUUAAA